AAUCUUAUCACAACCGAUAGAUUUCAAAAAGAAAAAGUUGAAAAAGAAAAAAAAAAGCAGUUGAAAAAGAUAAAAAUGAGUUGCCAAAUGAGUUAUAAGCCAUGACAUGAGUAAUAUUAUGACUCUUUGAUUAUAUAGAGGCAAACAUCAUGUAAAAUUCUGCUUAGGAGUCCUUUUGAACUAUUAUUAUUUUUUAUAUUAGUUUAAAUAUCAAAAUUUUAUUUUU
RNAcentral lists this long non-coding RNA (226 nucleotides) under Lathyrus oleraceus (garden pea). RNAcentral describes it as "Pisum sativum (pea) long non-coding RNA (PSAT_LNC019465)". The record is from RNAcentral. Lineage: Eukaryota; Viridiplantae; Streptophyta; Magnoliopsida; Fabales; Fabaceae.